ACUCAUUAUUUCCGUUUUCUCUCUCUUCCUACUCUCUUUCUCUUUCCUCCUCUGCUAUUGUCCUACUAUUUUUCCACUUUCUAUCUUCCAUUUUCGCUCUUCCAUUGAAGGUCAAUAUGAGUUUUCCAUUGAAGUGUGUUCUGAGCUUCCUUUCUUUCAUUAUUGCUGAGAUAAUUAUCCGUAUCCGUACUGAAUAAGUGUGAAUUUUUACUAAUGGAAAUUCUGAUUUAAUGAUUCGACAAAUAUAAGAGCAUGAAAUUGAUGUUGAAGGCCUAACAAUGGAGGAUUUGAGGUUUAACAAUGGCGAUAAUUAGAUGAGGUUUAACAAUGGCGAAAAUUAGAUGUUUUUGGCGCUGUUUGCAAUUUUGCAUGCUUGAGAGUUGAGACGAAAUGGGGAAAAAUAAGAUAGUUGCAAUUGAGAUUUUGGAAAAGAGAUUUGCUUAGUUUCAUUCACAAUUGUGUUCUUUGGUUUCUUGGUGCAUUUCAGAAGGUUAGUUCUUUGUUAACUCUUUCUCUGAAUAUAGUUAGUGUGCUAGAUGGAUUUUGUUUAUUAGUUUUUGUGAGAUUAAAUUUUGGUCUGUUUGAAGUAACAUGGAUUGUUUUUAUGUUUUAUUUUUGGGGGUUUUUUAUUUAUUUAUUUUUUAAUUUUUAAUGAGGUUAUUGUGUGAUUGUUUGUCUGAUUAUUGAUCUAAUUUUUAAAAAUAUAUACAGUAUUAUUGUGGUUCUAAUUAUUUUGUUUACCUUGGAUCUUAGUAGUGUUGAUUUUCUUAUUAAGAAAUUAUUAGUGCACAAUUUUGAAGUAUGUUGUUUUUAUAUAAUUUGUAGUGGUUUUCUGUAGUUCAAAAUUUUAAACUUAAUUAAAUAUCACUGUUUCUGAGUUGAUGCCAUAUUUACAAUUUUGAUGAAUUCUUAUUACAGUGGGAUUACUCAAAAUCUGUAACAAAUUCCUGAUAAUUUCAGUUCUUUUUCGAUAAGGCGGAGUAAAAAUUCAGAAUUUCUAUGACUCGGCGCUAUAUCGGACAGGAACCACAUCUUUGCUUCCUCUCAUCCCUUUUCUUUUCUGGUUUUAUGGUUCAUAUAAUUAAUGUUGCUAUUGCUCUACUACCACUGCCAUCUUUUCAUUGGUGGUGGUGGGGGUAGCGAUGGCGGUGAUGGUAACCCAUCUUUGCUACUUGCUUGCUGCGGGUUAUCAACUUCAUAUCAUUUCAUUCUCUCUAACUUAGUUGCUACUAUCCAAGUAAAACUACAUCGCCAUUCACAUAUGAUGGUCCUUGAUAUUAGAGUUUCUUGGCUACAUAUUUGUUAGCUUGUUGCUUUAUGAUCCUAGAUAGGAAGUCCGAGGUAAUUCAUACCUAAGGACACUCAGCUCGUUUAGAGUGAUCAUUAUGGAUAGGAAUUUCCUGAUGAUAUUUUUGCAGCAAUUCAAUAUGAAUACAAUUAGUGUUCAAAGUUCGAAAGAUUGUUUCAGUACAUAUAAGUUGUUCUUAAAGAUGUUGUAUAGUAUGAUGAGACUUUUAGUUUUAGAGUAAUUAGCAGUAAUUCUGUCAUUCAGUUUGAAGUUUCUUGCUUGGUAUCUCAUUGGCAAAACUGUUUGUUUAAGUGUCCUGUAAUUGUCUAAUACUCGUAUCAUGUGACGGGUGGGGUAUCCUCUCCCUUAAAUCAUCCUUACUGCCCACUAAUCAUUUAGUUCUUGAGGUUUACAAAGAGGUCUUUUUUUAAAGAUGUAUAGGACAAUCUUUCUCGUGGGAACCUAGCUGUUGUUAAGAUUUUGCAACAAAUGUUUCCUGAACUAGGAAGGCUUCAGUUUGUAUAUGCAGAUUUGGGUUGCUAUUACUCAAAAGUGUAUUUGAAGUAUAAAUAAGAUCAUCAGUAUAAAAUUAAGGUAUGAAUUCAGUAUCACCCUGUGACUGUCAUCGGGACAGAAGAGUAGUAGCAGACUUUUGUAAUUUAAUUGCUUUAGUUUUAUGGCUUGGCUAAUUUUUUAUUGGAGUGCUUGAUUCUCAAUGUUUAGCUAUUGACAAGAUUCAAGUAGGGCAGGGACUGUUCUAAAUAAGCAUUUUGAUGCUUAUAUAUUCGUAUUUGGCUUGACUGCCUCUUUAAUCAAUUUAUUUUAAUUUGCUAUAUGUUAAUAUUGAAUUACGGUCUGGUUUUAAGGAAUAAAAAAAGAAAGAACGUUAAGAUGUAGCCUGUGACAUGGGGGAGUACAAAGGUGGAGUUGGUGAUUCAUAACAAAAUUUCUUAAUUUUAAUUUUUAUUGUUUUCUGCCAAUUCAAACUGUCUGUUACCCUACUGUACUGAAUAUCAAGUGGCAUUUAAAAGAAUAUAGAGUAACUUGCCUCAUCCUAUUGUAGCUGUCUUAAUAUUGGUGUUUUAUAUGAUUUGUGUGUAAAUAUAGUUACUGUUGUCUGGGUUGGAUUCCAUGUAUUGAGUAUUUAAAUGUUAGAAUUGGUGCUUUAGAAGUGCAAUUGAGUAUAAGGAGCUCCAGCCUUAAGUACUUGCUGAACGUUUUAAGGCUGUUCCCAAGGUGAUUGUGAAUCAUCACAACCAUACUUUUCAAAGGAAUCCUUCUUAGGUUGAAGAAUAUGGAUGGUUACAAACUUUCCCAGGACUUUAAUAGCAUCGCAGUUAUUCAACCUGUGUUGUAGAUAGACCUUCUGCAUUAGUGAUAUUGACUUUGAAGUGAUUACCAAGCAGGUGAAUCUUUUGAACUUUGGUCUCACUGUCCGCGUCUAGCCCUAGGGACACGUUUCUUCUUUUGUGGAUCUAAUUCAGCCUUAAUUGAUACUACAUUUGGUAGAAUUCCAUGGUGACCCAAUUCCAUCUCAUGAGAUGUAAAUAUGAUUUUUGUAAUUCAUAGAAGAAAAAUAGGAUCAUAUAUAAUAGUAUAAAAGAAAUUUUGAAAUAUUCAUGCUUAAUAUAAUUAUUAGUUAAUUGACAAUUUUUUUUAUUUUUUAUUUUAUCAGGACAACAGAACGCAUGCAUCUUGAUGAGCUUAACCCUAGCUCCAUGAAUUUCACAGUCAAAUUUAAAGUUGUUGAAAAAGCUAGAUAAAGGAUAUCCUCCAACUCUAGAGAAACAAUCUUUCAAACUUUAUAUCUACUUGAUGAAAAGGUAUAUUAUGUCUUUUUGGAUUUUGUCAAUAUAAUAUCUAUGAACCUUAUUAAAUGCAUGUAUUUAAUAGGAUCUGGUUUAGGUUUUUUAAAAAAUAACUAAUUUUGCAUGGAAUCUAUGGCUUUAUGUGAGAUCUAAUUUUGAUAAAAACAACCAACUAGGGUUUCGUAGAAAAAAAACACAUGCAAUUAUUGGUAGAUGAAAUUUACCUGUCAAAAUAAUAAGGACAAAGCUAAUUUAUAAAUUAUGUCCGAUAAAUGUUACAUGAAUCAUUGAGCAUUACAUCAAAACUCUUGUAAGUUACUGUAAUAUAGUGAAGUUGUUAGGAUGAACUUUUGUAAACUUUUGUGCUGAUCUUACCAUACACAUGCUAUCUUAUCACAAAUUAAUCAUAAGAAUAUAGUGAAGUUGUUAGGAUGUUGUUUGGUGUUAUAGAUGAAAUUUACCUAUGAAAGAAGUCAACGGAUGACCAUGCAUGUCCCCUCCUCUUCUCCAGGGUCAUUUUUGGAUACUCUUGUAGACAAUCUUCCUUAAUAAAGAUGUAUUUUUUUUUUUUGCUGCUGCUCUGAUUGCAGUCUGAUUCGAGGACUACAAAUGAAUAAUCUUCCUCUCAUUAAUACACAAAAUACCCAUUUGUUUUGAGAUUACUUUAUACUGAUGUGUGAUCUGUUUGUCUCUAUGUCCAACCAGAGCUUGCGUUUGUACCAGCCUAAGCAUCUUUUUUUCCACCUAUUCCCUUCCACUUUGAAAGGACAUUCUUUUUCUUCAAAUCAUAGUGGAUUAGGGGAUGCAUGUAUUCAUUUGAGUGGAUGAUGGAGUAUGUUAUUGAUCAUAUUGAUAUGGUGGGAGUCGUAUAUUACAGAACUAAUGAUGUGUUGUUGAUGGUAUAGGCUGUAAAUGAUUUUUGGAAUGGCUAUGUAAUCAAUGUUGUAUAGGUUGCAAAUGAUUUUUGGGAUGAGUACUACAAUGAGUGCAAUCAUACAACAUGUGUUUUUAGCAUUGAAUUAAAUUAUACAUACUCAAAUUUAUUUUAGAAUAACAAGAUGCGUGUCACUCUUUUUGGAGAUCAAAUUAAAGCAUAUGACGAAGCCAUUGCAUACAAUGGAGAGUAUGAAAUCUCUAAUGCAACUGUGAAGCCACUAGAUGAUCAAUACCAUACUGUCCAUGAUCUGUUACCAUUUCAGCUACAUUUCAAUCAUCGGACAGUUGUUCAGCCAUGCCCUCAAACAGGCCAUGUAGUACCACAAUAUCAGUCAAUAGCUUCAAUUCCAAGACUCCAUAACAGACCUUGACCAUCUCUGCAUGGAAUGACCUCUCGGGAACUGCAAGUGAUGCUCUAAAUUCUGGCUGAAAAAUUUGCCGUAGUUGGCUUCACAGCACUUAAACACAAUCCUCGUAGAGCUACCAUGUCUACAAGGAUUAUUCAUAACCCAAAAGGAGAUAGAGAGAAUGUCUUACGUGAAUGGUAAUUUAAGUCAUUACAAAUAUUAAUUAAUUGAUAAGAAAUAAUUACUCUAACUUCUUAAACUCGCGUUUGUGAUGCCAUAUUAUUUUUUAUACAUGUAUAAGGCUGUUGCACAAAAGCAACUACUAUCUGACAGGCAAAAGUUUUACAAAUUCGAGAUACUACACAAGAACAAUCUAUGAAAACAAUUGAAGAACUGAAAGACAAGAAGGUAGUGGAAAAAAAAUGCAGUGUUCCUAAAGGAAGGCAAUUCACAUGCAUCGUCUGUGACAACAAGAACUGUGUCUCAGCUCCAAGGGUUGCUUUCAAAUUCGACGCAGCUGAUGUAACAGGUUCAAUAACAUUGACAUCGUUCAACAAUGACACAGAGAAAUUGUUCAACAAGAAAUCAAAGCUAUGAAAGAUCUUGUAUGACUCUUUUACAUAAUACUUCUAUUAAAUUUACACAUAGCUUAAAAGCAAUUGCAAACAUUCUACUUAUAAUGAAUAUUGUUAAUAAGAUACAUAUCCUUACAAUGCUAUAUUUCAAUUAGAACAACUUACAAUACACCGAUAAUAUAUAUGCUAAUUACAAAUGUAAUGUAUAGGGUGAUGUAGUUGCCUUUCAAGCAACUGAAGAAAAACUCAGGAAAAAAAGACAACUUUCUUCAAACUCGGUCCAUCUAAUUUCCUAGGUUCAAGCAGGGUUUUAGGAUGGUCACUCAAAACUA
Chenopodium quinoa (quinoa) is the source of this 5286-nucleotide long non-coding RNA. RefSeq lists it as uncharacterized. NCBI's taxonomy places the organism in Eukaryota, Viridiplantae, Streptophyta, Magnoliopsida, Caryophyllales, Amaranthaceae. The transcript has 5 exons. The record is from RefSeq and is a predicted model, not a curated record.